Capra hircus (goat) is the source of this 73-nucleotide non-coding RNA. NCBI's taxonomy places the organism in Eukaryota, Metazoa, Chordata, Mammalia, Artiodactyla, Bovidae. The record is from the annotation of a RefSeq genome assembly.
UCCCUGAGGGUCCAGCGGUUAGGAUUCUGCACUUUCACUGCUGAGGUCCCAGGUUCAACCCCUGGUUGGGGAA